UNGGNNCGNNNGGGGAGUCUACACGUGCGUGUCGAGCGGUAACACAGAGAGCUUGCUCUCGGGUGACGAGCGGCGGACGGGUGAGUAAUGUCUGGGAAACUGCCUGAUGGAGGGGGAUAACUACUGGAAACGGUAGCUAAUACCGCAUAACGUCGCAAGACCAAAGUGGGGGACCUUCGGGCCUCAUGCCAUCAGAUGUGCCCAGAUGGGAUUAGCUAGUAGGUGGGGUAAUGGCUCACCUAGGCGACGAUCCCUAGCUGGUCUGAGAGGAUGACCAGCCACACUGGAACUGAGACACGGUCCAGACUCCUACGGGAGGCAGCAGUGGGGAAUAUUGCACAAUGGGCGCAAGCCUGAUGCAGCCAUGCCGCGUGUAUGAAGAAGGCCUUCGGGUUGUAAAGUACUUUCACCGAGGAGGAAGGCAUUAAGGUUAAUAACCUUGGCGAUUGACGUUACUCGCACAAGAAGCACCGGCUAACUCCGUGCCAGCAGCCGCGGUAAUACGGAGGGUGCAAGCGUUAAUCGGAAUUACUGGGCUUAAAGCGCACCCACGCCGUC
Molecule: ribosomal RNA, 558 nt
Filed under: Enterobacter sp. 3AR26
Lineage: Bacteria; Pseudomonadati; Pseudomonadota; Gammaproteobacteria; Enterobacterales; Enterobacteriaceae
Description: bacterial SSU rRNA
Rfam family: Bacterial small subunit ribosomal RNA
Source: RNAcentral